RNAcentral lists this unclassified non-coding RNA (247 nucleotides) under Hymenoscyphus sp. Its description in RNAcentral is "partial contains 5.8S ribosomal RNA, internal transcribed spacer 2, and large subunit ribosomal RNA". The stretch from base 1 to 52 matches the Rfam family "5.8S ribosomal RNA", at positions 103 to 154 of the family's 154-position model. Lineage: Eukaryota; Fungi; Ascomycota; Leotiomycetes; Helotiales; Helotiaceae. The record is from RNAcentral.
AACGCACAUUGCGCCCCUCGGUAUUCCGGGGGGCAUGCCUGUUCGAGCGUCAUUACACCCCUCAAGCGUAGCUUGGUAUUGGGCCCCUCGCCCCCUGGGCGUCCCCGAAAGUCAUGGGUGGUCCGGAGUGACUUUAAGCGUAGUAAAUUACCUCCCGCUUUGAAAGCUCGCCCCGCGGCCGGCCCGAAAACCCCAUAAUCUAUCAGCGAUUGACCUCGGAUCAGGUAGGGAUACCCGCUGAACAUAA